This 78-nucleotide ribosomal RNA is filed under the name Candidatus Aenigmatarchaeota archaeon. The record is from RNAcentral. Lineage: Archaea; Nanobdellati; Candidatus Aenigmatarchaeota.
GCUGGCGGUCAAAGCGGAAGGGAAACAUCCGUACCCAUCUCGAACACGGUAAUUAAGACUUCCUGCGAUUUAAGCUGU